Molecule: non-coding RNA, 73 nt
Organism: Ailuropoda melanoleuca (giant panda)
Lineage: Eukaryota; Metazoa; Chordata; Mammalia; Carnivora; Ursidae
Source: Rfam
GCCUAGCUGGCUCAGUGGGUGAAGCAUGCAACUUUUGAUUUCAGGGUCAUAAGUUCAAGCCCCAUGUUGGGUG